RNAcentral lists this ribosomal RNA (254 nucleotides) under uncultured prokaryote. RNAcentral's name for it is "partial 16S ribosomal RNA". It matches the Rfam family "Bacterial small subunit ribosomal RNA", at positions 524 to 777 of the family's 1533-position model. The record is from RNAcentral.
UACGUAGGGACCAAGCGUUGUUCGGAUUUACUGGGCGUAAAGGGCGCGUAGGCGGCAAUUCAAGUCAUCUGUGAAAUCUCCGGGCUUAACUCGGAACGGUCAGAUGAUACUGCUUUGCUAGAGUGCGGAAGGGGCAAUCGGAAUUCUCGGUGUAGCGGUGAAAUGCGUAGAUAUCGAGAGGAACACCUGAGGUGAAGACGGGUUGCUGGGCCGACACUGACGCUGAGGCGCGAAAGCUAGGGGAGCAAACAGGA